ACCUACCCUUGACAUGUCCGGAAUCCGAAGAGAUUUGGGAGUGCUCGCAAGAGAACCGGAACACAGGUGCUGCAUGGCUGUCGUCAGCUCGUGCCGUGAGAUGUUGGGUUAAGUCCCGCAACGAGCGCAACCCUUGUCAUUAGUUGCCAUCAUUUGUUGGGCACUCUAAUGAGACUGCCGGUGACAAACCGGAGGAAGGUGGGGAUGACGUCAAGUCCUCAUGGCCCUUAUGGGUAGGGCUUCACACGUCAUACAAUGGUCGGUACAGAGGGUUGCCAACCCGCGAGGGGGAGCUAAUCCCACAAAGCCGAUCGUAGUCCGGAUCGCAGUCUGCAACUCGACUGCGUGAAGUCGGAAUCGCUAGUAAUCGUGGAUCAGCAUGUCACGGUGAAUACGUUCCCGGGUCUU
RNAcentral lists this ribosomal RNA (408 nucleotides) under uncultured Rhodocyclaceae bacterium. RNAcentral describes it as "bacterial SSU rRNA". It matches the Rfam family "Bacterial small subunit ribosomal RNA", at positions 973 to 1382 of the family's 1533-position model. Lineage: Bacteria; Pseudomonadati; Pseudomonadota; Betaproteobacteria; Rhodocyclales; Rhodocyclaceae. The record is from RNAcentral.